Pelobates cultripes (western spadefoot toad) is the source of this 1119-nucleotide non-coding RNA. Lineage: Eukaryota; Metazoa; Chordata; Amphibia; Anura; Pelobatidae. The record is from the annotation of a GenBank genome assembly.
CCUGAAUAAACCUCAUUUUUAAACAUACAAAAAAUAAAUAAACAAAGGCAAAUAAAUAAAAGUACAAUAAAUAUAUCCAGCUAUAGAUUUCAUGACUUUAUGGAUUUCCCUUUUAAACUCUUUUUUACGUUCUGUACGUAAGCUGUGAAUAUUAUUCAUAUUAGGGCUUAUUCACUAAGCAAUGAACAGUCAUCAGGCAACAAACACAUAGGAUUAAAUACAUAUGAAACGUUCACCUCAAGCUACAAUACCCUCUAUAGCGCUCAACAUAUAAUGUAUCAUAGAGGUCAAUUAUAGAUUAGUUAUUUUAAGAGCUUCUUUGAUUUUAAUAACCUCGAAUAGUUCUGUCCUGCUCCUGCCCAUCUCUUUGGUCUUGUCUGGGUGCACUUUCUCAAUCCUAAACCUUUUCCAUGCCACCAACACAUUGGCUUUAUCCCUGUCAGAACGGAGUAACAUUCAUCUCACACUUAUUGGAAUAACUUCCUGUAGGAGGGUUCUCCUGCUCUACCAGUCACUCAAUUGUCACAAAGACUUCUAUGCAGACAACUGAUUGACAGGAUUUUUUUAUUUUUAUUUUAUAUGACAGGAGGUGAGGGGUUGGUCCAUGUGUCCAUGAUGCCAAUGUGCCUGCCCACAAAGUGGGGCAUCAUUCCAGGGCACAUCUGCAUCAGGAUGACAGUGUUUCCAACAGGACGGAUAUUCAUGGCUGCCCAUCUGCCGGGCACUGUCGACGUGUUUGCAUAUGGGCUUAAAUGUUGUGAAAAUGAUUAAAAGUGCAGCACGAGCAGGAAUAAUCGCGUGCUCACGCUAUAAUUUCUAUCAGUACUCUCAAAACCAGUUUCAAGUGCCAAUCUGUCAGGUGAUCGGGAAGGCAAAAAUCAUGUCAGCUCUUCAUUAGUUGACUGUUAAUGGAGGUUGGAACACUCUGGGGGACAAAAUGCAGAACAGUAACAAGAUAAUGCAAUUCUGAAUUUAAGCAGAACGAGCUGGUUUUCCAGCUGGGGGACUAUGGUCUUCCUCUAACUUCACUAAGUUAUGGAACAAUAUUGAAGUGAAAUCUGAUAAACAAUUUCAUAUUCUCCAACUUACCUAAAAUGACGAGAAAGUUACCAAAAUAAG